This 496-nucleotide ribosomal RNA is filed under the name uncultured Scutellospora. RNAcentral's name for it is "SSU rRNA". It matches the Rfam family "Eukaryotic small subunit ribosomal RNA", at positions 548 to 1050 of the family's 1831-position model. The record is from RNAcentral. Lineage: Eukaryota; Fungi; Glomeromycota; Glomeromycetes; Diversisporales; Gigasporaceae.
UUGGAGGGCAAGUCUGGUGCCAGCAGCCGCGGUAAUUCCAGCUCCAAUAGCGUAUAUUAAAGUUGUUGCAGUUAAAAAGCUCGUAGUUGAAUUUCGGGGUUCUUCCGUUGGUCAGGCUAACAAGUCUGUACUAGCGUGUAGAAUCUCUACCUUCUGGGGAACCAUCAUGUUAUUAAUUUAGCGUGGUGGGAAACCAGGACCUUUACCUUGAAAAAAUUAGAGUGUUCAAAGCAGGCUUACGUCUGAAUACAUUAGCAUGGAAUAAUAAAAUAGGACGGUGGUCCUGUUUUGUUGGUUUCUGAAUCACCGUAAUGAUUAAUAGGGAUAGUUGGGGGCAUUAGUAUUCAAUUGUCAGAGGUGAAAUUCUUGGAUUUAUUGAAGACUAACUUCUGCGAAAGCAUUUGCCAAGGAUGUUUUCAUUAAUCAAGAACGAAAGUUAGGGGAUCGAAGACGAUCAGAUACCGUCGUAGUCUAACCAUAAACUAUCCAGACUAGG